Molecule: non-coding RNA, 72 nt
Organism: Parelaphostrongylus tenuis
Lineage: Eukaryota; Metazoa; Nematoda; Chromadorea; Rhabditida; Metastrongylidae
Source: the annotation of a GenBank genome assembly
ACCGCGGUAGUGCAAUGGUUAGCACGCUCCCCCGAAAAGAACGUGGUGCGGGUUCAACUCUCGUCCGAGGUU